Molecule: unclassified non-coding RNA, 320 nt
Filed under: plant metagenome
Description: partial contains 5.8S ribosomal RNA, internal transcribed spacer 2, and large subunit ribosomal RNA
Rfam family: 5.8S ribosomal RNA (bases 1-105)
Source: RNAcentral
GAAAUGCGAUAAGUAAUGUGAAUUGCAGAAUUCAGUGAAUCAUCGAAUCUUUGAACCCACAUUGCGCCCGCCAGUAUUCUGGCGGGCAUGCCUGUUCGAGCGUCAUUACAACCCUCAGGCCCCCGGGCCUGGCGUUGGGGAUCGGCGGAAGCCCCCUGCGGGCACAACGCCGUCCCCCAAAUACAGUGGCGGUCCCGCCGCAGCUUCCAUUGCGUAGUAGCUAACACCUCGCAACUGGAGAGCGGCGCGGCCACGCCGUAAAACACCCAACUUCUGAAUGUUGACCUCGAAUCAGGUAGGAAUACCCGCUGAACUUAAGC